This is a long non-coding RNA of Patiria miniata (bat star), 5477 nucleotides long. RefSeq lists it as uncharacterized. The transcript is spliced from 7 exons. The record is from RefSeq and is a predicted model, not a curated record. Lineage: Eukaryota; Metazoa; Echinodermata; Asteroidea; Valvatida; Asterinidae.
CCUAAUGCUGUUGAAAUCGGUGCGAUGCGGGGAGCCAGGGACCAUGUGACGGCAUGCGUAUAUAUGCCCCACCCGAAUUUUCCGCGUGGUUGUUUCACGCACUCGAAGUUGGCGGGCACAGAGGGGCUCGAAAACCGUUACAACGUUCAAAACGGUGAUCAUGACAGAGCUAGACUCCAAGCCAAUGAAGUGAACUCUAUCACGAAUGCUAAUACUGGAGGAAUCAUGCUGGAACUUUGCAACCAAGUCCUUGCCACUCGCGGUUUGUCAUGAAUGUACUGUGCCCGUCAAACAAUAUUAUGCUCUACAAUUAGGCCUACGUCCCAGUGAAGUCUAGGGCCAGUUUUCUUGGGGCUUAAAUUUAAAUGAUUUCAACAUAAAUAACAUGUAGUUGAAAUGAAAUCUGUAAUGAGUAAUUAACCUUUAAACAAUGGAAUAAAUCUUCAUGAUAUUUAGCCUACAAGAAUAAAGAUGCCAAAAAAUGAAGUCUUCAAGUUGAUUAAAAUAAAUGAGAAAACAUUGAAGUAGCACAGUAAACCUAACCCAAACCUAAGGUCAAUGAUAAUGAAAAUAAAAUAAAACUUCAAAUGUUAUUCAUGAUGUUUAAACCUCAAGGAUGUAAAUACCUGGAACUAAGUCUUCAAAUUGACUUAAAAUAAACUAGAAAACACAAGUAGAACAGUAAACUUAACCCAAACCUAUUGGUCAGUGCUAAUAAAAGAAACCUAAAUUUCAAAUAAUAUUCAUGUUUAAACCUCAAGGAGCUGUCUAGAAAUAACUCUUCAAAUUAUUUUUAAAGACUAAAAAACAUAAGCAGAACAGUAAACCUAACCUAAAUUUAUUAAGGGCAAUGCUAUUGCAAGUGAAAUUAAACUUCAAAUAUUAUUAAGUGGCUUACUUGACAACAAAAGGAAUUAAUCUUAUGUUUUAACCUGGAGUGAAUAGAUGACUAAAACUAAAUCUUCAACACGGUUUAAUGUAAACUUGAAAACAGAAGCAGCAGAGUGUAUGUAACGAGCCUAAGGUCAAAACUAAUAAAAUUGAAAUUAAAACUUUAAAUAUUAAGCAACUUACUUUGGAGGGUAUAUCCAGUUUUGAAUACAAAUACAAAAAAAGUAUCAUCCAAGUGCGCCAAGUAUUUUGUUUUGUGCCAACUGUGCAAAUUUAAGUGUAGACCCUUGCAGCAUUUUUUGAGGUCAUUCCCCUGCACGCAACCAUUAACAGCUAACCAUGUUAAUCACAAACCAUUAACAGAACAGUGCAACCAUUAACAGUUAACCAUGUUAAUCACAAACCAUUAACAGAACAGUGCAACCAUUAACAGUUAACCAUGUUAAUCACAAACCAUUAACAGUAUGCACUUCAACCACUAACCAGCAAAGACCCAUCCGAGUGCUGCAAGAACUGGGAAAAUGUUAAACGCUUCUUGAGAAGUUAAGUUCACUUGCGCAAUUGAUUUGUUGCUCAAAGCUGGAUUGCUAUAAUAUUUUUCUUAAGUAGUGUAGUAUUUACAACAGUUAUGGAAAAGCAAAGUUAUUACAAGUAUAUUACUGUAAGCCCUAAUGAAAAAAGAAAUUAUUGCAAAAAUCUGCAUGAUUUAAUAAUAGCCAGAAAACAUUUUGAAAUCCAAUUGAACUCUGAUGGAAAUGAUUAAAAUGAUAAAACAAGAUCAGCCUAACAUAAGGACAUUAUCUAAAAAUGAGGAUAUUAAUUUAACACCAUAUUACUUAAUAUUAAAAAUAGUUGACACUGAACCCUUAAACAAAGAAUAAAGAGUAAUUCAGCAUAAAGCUAUAACCAUGAUUAAUUAAUGGUCUUAAAUUUUUGAAAUCGAUUCAAGUUGACCCUGGAUAAAAUUGGGACAAUGGUCAGUACAGAGCAAGACAUUUAAAAGAAUGUGAAAGUCUUAUAGAGAAACUCUGAAAAGUUGCCCCAGGAUAAACUUUUGACAAUGUGCAAGACAAACUAUGAAUCAUGAGAAUGACAUUGAGGAUGGGAACUAUCGAUGUCAGCCAGAUGGAUGGUGUGAUGAACAGAUAUGAUGUAAGCCACAGUGUGUGGAAGGAGGAAAAUCAUCAUCCAGUGAGAGAUUCAUCGCUAAGACAAACUCUGGACUUGGAAUUAGUUAUCAACGUGUCGGACAGGGACUAAAGAUCAACAUUAAAAGGCAGUACUGCAGCAACUUUUGGAAAAGGAUGGAGUUGACUUUAACACAACUGAUUUCAUGAGUGUUGCAUAUCUCCAGUGCAGACUCUGUGUAAGCUUUUUACCUUAAUUGAUCUUGGACACACAAUGGAAGGACACACCUACAUGUACCUUGAACUCCACGCUAUUUUGGAAGCUUGAUACUCUCCGGAUAAGCAUCUUUGGAAGGACCGACUUGGGGGAACAGUGACUUUCUGACGGCAGACGAGUGGAAAUCUGAUGACUCUCUGAUUCUGGGACCGAUGGAAUUCAACUUUUGACAAUGUGCAAGACAAACUAUGAAAUCGCGAGGAUGACAUUGUCAGAACAGUAACUACAUGUACAUGUAUACAAGAUAUCGAGGACAAAUUGAGAAACAGAUGUAUUAGCCACAGUGUGCUGAAGGAGGAAAAUUAUGCAGUGAGGGACUCAUCACAUAAAGGACAGUGAAUUCAUCAUCUGAAUGUCUGAUUUGGACUAAGGAUCAACAUUAAAGGCAACAUUGCAACAUUUUUUGGAACUGUUUUUGUGAGUGUUGCAUUUCUCCAGUGUGGACUCGGUGCAAACUGCUGCGUCACUCUACUAUAAUCUUGGAAGCACAAUUGGAGGACACGCAUUGCCAUUUUGAGGAGCUUGACACUUAGACGAUAAACUUCUUUGGAAGUACAGACAGACUUGAACUUUGAAGACUGACUUUCUGAUAUUGGACAAGUGGAAAUCUUGAUGACCUUCUGACCAGUGGAAUUCGCCAUCUUUACUACCAGUGGAGGCAUGUUUCAUCCUGGAAACUUGGGGGUCUGGAGGUACUCGUGAGACGUUAUCUGGCUGUGAUGAGCAUGACCAUGACGCCUGGAUUGCAGAAGUCUACUGAAGUUGGGAGGGCCAGACGAAGGACCAGACGUCUUGGGUAUAGAGGCCGGGGGACACGUUUGUAUGUUCAUAAGGUAAGGUAACCAUUGUAUGCAGGCUUGAACAUGCACAAGACCCCCGGAUGUCGCUGUACAGUUUGCAAGUGGAGUCGCUUGGAUUGUGUGGUAGGGUAGAACGAGGGGGACAAGGUUGCAUGUAAACCCAGGUGAGGUAACCAUUUCUCUGCAGCUCUUCUAGGCCACAUGCCUCAAGACUUGUCCCCCUUGUCUGGAUGUUGUUCUGUGGAUUCUGGAUGUUGUUCUGUGGAUUGUGCAGAGUGGUAUCCUGUUUUAACUGAUCUAACCAAGAUAUUCAUCUUGCUGUGGAUGGAGUAUAGAUGGCAGCAGUGUGUUGUCAAAGUUGGAGCCAGAAAGUGGGCACAGCAAACACACGAUAUCUGUUGCCGUAAUUGCGAGCAAGGACUAUCAGCGUUAAAGGUUGUAGACUACUGGCGCAAUGCAUUCAAUGCCACAUCACUGGAGCGGGAGCAAACGUGAUGACUCUACAACAGCCUUCUAUGUGACAACGUUCAGCCUCAUCAGCCAGAUCUGCCAGGCACAGAUCAGCAAGGACUAGGAUUCCGUACGUCAUAUCACCCACCUUGGCUCAAAUGGGAUGUAGACUACUGACACCAUUCAACGCCACAUCACUGGAGCGGGAGCAAACAUGAUGACUCUACAACAGCCUUCCUGCGACGAUGUUAGCCUCAUCAGUCAGAUCUACCAGGCACAGAUCAGCAAGGAUUGUGAUCCACUUAUAUUACCCACCUUGGCUCAAAGAGGUGGACUACACAGCAAUAACGAUCAGCAUCAGCAUCAGCCAGACUUCAGCAGAGACGAUGCUCCUCUUGAGUGGAUCCAGAAGGCAGACUGAUGGGGGCCUCAGCAGCUCAGCCCUGGCCAUGAAUUUCCAUCUUGGCCACCAACCAACGGGGAGACGUACCUGAAGUUGUUGAGCAUUUGGAUAAAUCUGGACGGCAUCAUGUACACACUAUGGAACUGAUCAUCGCACGUGGAAGGCACUAAUUUGGCCAGACGCCCCCCCCCCUUCCACCUUGACCACUUCAGCUUUAGCUUAUUAGGAUUUGGAGCCACAAAUUGGAUUGUUACACAUCUUUCAACUGGAUCGCGAAAUGAACCGAACUUAAAACCCGCGUAAUUUCUCGCGAUUCGACUCUACGGUUAAAUAAGAACUGUUCCAAGUUUUCCAUACUUCUGAACUGUUGCUGAUGUAGUGGAUGUCUUCGAUCGUUUGUCGUGCAAGAAGAAAGGGAUGCAAUGCCCAAACUGUUUAGACAUUUAUCUACAAAGAUCACGUGCGUUUGUGAACUCUGUACACUCGCGAGACCCUCUUCUAUGGAGAAACCAUUGUGCGUGCUUUGAACUUUUUCGCUUGAAGACUGAUGGAACUUUUCAUUGCCAGAACUUUCAUGCAGGGUGGUGGGAAUAAUUGAGACAGUUGAGUUUUGAAAUGUUUGAAAUUGGAAUUUUGUUAAGUUUUGGCUUGUUUUGGUUAAAAUGUUGAUAGUGUGCUGUUACGGCAUCCCUCUUUUUAUUCAGUGGUUCUCAUUUCCAUGAUGUUAACUCACAAUAAACUCUUUGCUUAAAAAAUGAGACAAUACACACUUUGCAUCAUUUUAUUGAGCUAUCUAUAGGACUGAUGGUUGGAAUUGGAAUUUUUCUUCAGGUUUUUAAUUUCUGCAAACCGACUUCAGAGGCAAAAAAAGAACAAUGAAAACCAUGGAAAUAAAAAGAGAUGCCCUUAUAUUAUUUUAAUGUUUGAUUUUGCGACUUGUAGAAAAAUAACGCAUUUCGAUAUUCGCAAUGCAUUUGAAGAUAGAUUUUCAUUAUCGGAACUUUCAUGAGUGGUGGUGGUGGAAAAUAUUGAGACAGCUGAGUUUUCAAAUGUUUGAUAUUAGAAUUCUUUUUAAGUCAUGACUUAUUUUGGUUAAAAUUUUGUUACUUUUGCUAUUAGGGCAUCCCUCUUUUGUGGUUCUCAUUUCUCACAAUAACUUGUGGCAUAAACUCGGCAUAACUUAACAGUCUGCAUAAUUUAACGUAGCCAUCUAAAGACAAAUCCGGCAGCAGGCAUUUUCUGCAAUGGCGCAAAGUUUGCACGAGUUGCGCUCAAGUGUGGCGCAUGCGCUUCAUCAGGCUCCUUCAACCAUUUGCUUGAGCUUAAAACCACUGCAGUAAAAGCUGCUUAUUCUGGUAGCCAGAUUUCAGUUUAUUGGUGGAUCAGAUUUUCUUCUGAUAAUUAUUUUUUGCAAACCAACCACUUCAGAGGCAAAAAACCACAAAAACCCAAAACCCCAAAACUGUGAGAACUAUAAACAAUAAGGGAAACCCUCAUAUGAUGUAUGUUACAUGUUAUGAUCUAUGCAA